RNAcentral lists this ribosomal RNA (786 nucleotides) under uncultured bacterium. RNAcentral describes it as "bacterial SSU rRNA". It matches the Rfam family "Bacterial small subunit ribosomal RNA", at positions 8 to 785 of the family's 1533-position model. The record is from RNAcentral.
AGAGUUUGAUCCUGGCUCAGGAUGAACGCUAGCGACAGGCCUAACACAUGCAAGUCGAGGGGCAGCACAUGAGUAGCAAUACGAUGGUGGCGACCGGCGCACGGGUGAGUAACACGUAUGCAACCUGCCUUCUACUAUGGGAUAACCCGUUGAAAGACGGACUAAUACCGUAUAAUACAGGGGCUCCGCAUGGAGAUAUUUGUUAAAGAUUUAUUGGUAGAAGAUGGGCAUGCGUAUGAUUAGAUAGUUGGUGAGGUAACGGCUCACCAAGUCAACGAUCAUUAGGGGUUCUGAGAGGAAGGUCCCCCACACUGGUACUGAGACACGGACCAGACUCCUACGGGAGGCAGCAGUGAGGAAUAUUGGUCAAUGGACGAGAGUCUGAACCAGCCAAGUCGCGUGAAGGAAGACGGUUCUAUGAAUUGUAAACUUCUUUUGUGCAGGAAUAAAGUGGGUUACGUGUAACCUUUUGUAUGUACUGUACGAAUAAGGAUCGGCUAACUCCGUGCCAGCAGCCGCGGUAAUACGGAGGAUCCGAGCGUUAUCCGGAUUUAUUGGGUUUAAAGGGUGCGUAGGUGGAUUGAUAAGUCAGCGGUGAAAGUUUGCAGCUUAACUGUAAAAUUGCCGUUGAAACUGUCGGUCUUGAGUGCAAAUGAGGUAGGCGGAAUGUGUUGUGUAGCGGUGAAAUGCUUAGAUAUAACACAGAACUCCGAUUGCGAAGGCAGCUUACUGGGAUGCAACUGACACUGAUGCACGAAAGCGUGGGUAUCAAACAGGAUUAGAUAC